RNAcentral lists this ribosomal RNA (228 nucleotides) under uncultured bacterium. RNAcentral's name for it is "partial 16S ribosomal RNA". It matches the Rfam family "Bacterial small subunit ribosomal RNA", at positions 1275 to 1500 of the family's 1533-position model. The record is from RNAcentral.
CAAAAACUUAGUCUCAGUUCGGAUUNUAGGCUGAAACUCGCCUACAUGAAGCUGGAGUUGCUAGUAAUCGCGAAUCAGCAUGUCGCGGUGAAUACGUUCCCGGGCCUUGUACACACCGCCCGUCACACCAUGAGAGUUGGCAAUACCCAACGUACGUGAUCUAACCCGCAAGGGAGGAAGCGUCCUAAGGUAGGGUCAGCGAUUGGGGUGAAGUCGUAACAAGGUAAC